UUUUGAUUGAUUCCGAUAAUGGAGAAAGUUUGUUAGAAUUAUUUUUCUUGAGCAUGUAAAUGAAUUAGAAGAAUAGGGAUUCUAAGCUUCCUUUUAGUCAAUGGACUUAGCAGUUGGAUCUUUACUUUUGUUUUGUCCCAACAUCUGCUUUUAUGUAUUUGGUUUCCGAGGAACAGUUGGAUUACCAGAAGAUCUUCUAAAUCUUUAUCUCAAAUUCUGGAUGAUAUUAGAUUUUUUGGAAAAGAAUGGAGGAAUGGAGUUCAGUGUCUAGUGCUAAAUACCUGUCUGCUCUUGAUCAAUUUACAGGACCAUGCUUUCCUUAGACAGUAAUUUAGAAGGCAAUAUUUUUAUUAGACAAUUUUUGGUACUUACAUUACCAUCAAAAAAAUAUUUGGUGCUUAUAGUUGCAUUCGUUUCCUAUCUCAUGAAAUAU
Molecule: long non-coding RNA, 433 nt
Filed under: Elaeis guineensis (African oil palm)
Lineage: Eukaryota; Viridiplantae; Streptophyta; Magnoliopsida; Arecales; Arecaceae
Description: long non-coding RNA (EGUI_LNC039127)
Source: RNAcentral